UGCAUCUGAGGCCUGCGAGGAUGAGAACCUCCGGGGGCAGGAGGUUCGACUCGAGCGAAGCGAGAGAACGUUGCGUCAGCAA
RNAcentral lists this small RNA (82 nucleotides) under Klebsiella pneumoniae subsp. pneumoniae. Its description in RNAcentral is "partial RtT sRNA". It matches the Rfam family "RtT RNA", at positions 1 to 79 of the family's 130-position model. Rfam says of the family: This family represents a bacterial cis-regulatory element known as RtT RNA. The exact function of RtT is unknown although it is thought that it may be involved in changing the cellular response in relation to amino acid starvation. Lineage: Bacteria; Pseudomonadati; Pseudomonadota; Gammaproteobacteria; Enterobacterales; Enterobacteriaceae. The record is from RNAcentral.